UACGUAGGGUGCAAGCGUUAAUCGGAAUUACUGGGCGUAAAGCGUGCGCAGGCGGUCCGUUAAGACAGAUGUGAAAUCCCCGGGCUUAACCUGGGAACUGCAUUGAGGACUGGAAGGCUAGAGUACGGCAGAGGGGGGUGGAAUUCCACGUGUAGCAGUGAAAUGCGUAGAGAUGUGGAGGAACACCGAUGGCGAAGGCAGCCCCCUGGGCCUGUACUGACGCUCAUGCACGAAAGCGUGGGGAGCAAACAGG
Molecule: ribosomal RNA, 253 nt
Filed under: uncultured bacterium
Lineage: Bacteria
Description: partial 16S ribosomal RNA
Rfam family: Bacterial small subunit ribosomal RNA
Source: RNAcentral